RNAcentral lists this ribosomal RNA (498 nucleotides) under uncultured bacterium. RNAcentral describes it as "bacterial SSU rRNA". It matches the Rfam family "Bacterial small subunit ribosomal RNA", at positions 899 to 1397 of the family's 1533-position model. The record is from RNAcentral.
ACUCAAAUGAAUAGACGGGGGCCCGCACAAGCGGUGGAGCAUGUUGCUUAAUUCGAGGCAACGCGAAGAACCUUACCCAGGUUUGACAUGCGACGGACUUUCCGUGAAAGCGGGAUUCCCCUCGGGGCCGUCGCACAGAUGCUGCAUGGCUGUCGUCAGCUCGUGCCGUGAGGUGUUCGGUUAAGUCCGGCAACGAGCGCAACCCGUGCCGUCAGUUGCCAUCAGGUGAUGCUGGGGACUCUGGCGGGACCGCCCGUGUCAAGCGGGAGGAAGGCGCGGAUGACGUCAAGUCCGUAUGGCUCUUACGCCUGGGGCUGCAAACGUGCUACAAUGGCCGGUACAAAGGGGCGCCAUUCCGUGAGGCGGAGCGAAUCCUCAAAACCGGCCCCAGUUCGGAUCGCAGUCUGCAACUCGACUGCGUGAAGCCGGAAUCGCUAGUAAAGGGGCAUCAGCCACGGCUCCUUGAAUACGUUCCCGGGCCUUGCACACACCGCCCGU